RNAcentral lists this ribosomal RNA (440 nucleotides) under uncultured bacterium. RNAcentral's name for it is "partial 16S ribosomal RNA". It matches the Rfam family "Bacterial small subunit ribosomal RNA", at positions 338 to 795 of the family's 1533-position model. The record is from RNAcentral.
CCUACGGGAGGCAGCAGUGGGGAAUAUUGCACAAUGGGGGAAACCCUGAUGCAGCGACGCCGCGUGAAUGAUGAAGGAUUUCGGUAUGUAAACUUCUAUCAGCAGCGAAGAAAGUGACGGUACCUGACUAAGAAGCCCCGGCUAACUACGUGCCAGCAGCCGCGGUAAUACGUAGGGGGCACGCGUUCUCCGGAUUUACUGGGUCUAAAGGGAGCGUGGACGGCAUGGCAAGUCUGAUGUGAAAACCCGGGGGUUAACCCUGGGAUUGCAUUGGAAACUGUCACGCUAGAGUGCAGUAGAGGGAAGUGGAAUUCCUAGUGUAGCGGUGAAAUGCGUAGAUAUAAGGAGGAACACCAGUGGCGAAGGCGGCUCGCUGGACGGUAACUGACGCUGAGGCUCGAAAGCGUGGGGAGCAAACAGGAUUAGAUACCCGGGUAGUC